This is a long non-coding RNA of Mustela lutreola (European mink), 448 nucleotides long. RefSeq lists it as uncharacterized. Lineage: Eukaryota; Metazoa; Chordata; Mammalia; Carnivora; Mustelidae. The transcript is spliced from 3 exons. The record is from RefSeq and is a predicted model, not a curated record.
GCAGGACAGCCUGCCUCACUGUGACUAAGAACGUUGCUGAGCGAUUCCAGAAUGGCAUGUCCACAGAAGCUCAGAACAGUUAGGGAAAACCUGUAGUGAUCAGGGGGAGGCUUGAAGAAACUGGACAGGAGAAAUGAGGAGUUACAGAAACAGAUGAAAAGUCAGGAUCUCCAGGAUUUCAAGGCCAAUCACUUUCUUUUUGAAUGAAAGGUCCUGAAGAAAGGGUGUAGUGUGAUUUUGUGGAUGAGAUCACAGGUCUGUCCUUGACAAUCCAGAGAGCAGUCCUAAAUCAACAGAAGUUGACCCCAACCUCUCAAGUGCCCCACUUGCAAGGACCAGGCUUCUUACAAGAUCAAGUUUUCACUCUGCAGACCUGCCUUUCUCUCAAGGUCCCAGAGUUGUCCAGUGGUGGACCCUACCAUUCUCAACUUGGAUUUGUUCUUUCCCU